GGAGGGGGCCAGAAUUAGAGCCCAGGGAGGUGGCUGAAUGUCAAAAGUAAAAAGGUUGAAAAGCCAAUUUUCCAGGCGCGCUCUGCCCCCCCGCGCCGGUUGCCCAGGCCGUAAAUCAGCGGCCGGCGGCGAGGGCGGGAGCAGCCCCCUGUGCGGCGGGCGCGGCGGCCCCGCCCGGGCCCUGCACGCCUCCCGGUGGGCCCCGAAUCGAUCCACAGCCGAGCUGAGGAUGUCACCGCACUAAAUAUUUACUGAUCACACACAAAUAGCCGGGGCUCGAACGAUUUUCCUCUGUGAGGAGAGCGCAGAGAGAAGGGUAAAUCAUUUUAUUAGUGUGGAUAAAGCCCAGAGCACACUCCGGGCUGGAGUGUUUUAAGAUGUGUCUUCAACGGGAUGAAAAGAGUUAGGGAAAUCGAUACGGAGUGAUUAGAAGCCCCCGGAGUGACAAAGGGGGGACGGGGCUUUCUGGGAUUUGGCGGUGCCGAGUGGGAGGGAAGCCAGCAUCGAGGAGGGCGGCCCGACCACCGCCGGGGGCUCCCGGGUGCGCAGGCCUGGUCCCCUCUCCUCGACGGGAGACGCCAGGGCGCGGGACCCGGGACGUGCGUCGCCGCCUAGCUUUGCGGGGCCGCCACCAGCUAGGGAUGCGCGGGCCGCGGUGGGGCUGAGGACCUGGGCGCCAAGGGCUCCACGCCGCGAGCAGCAGUGGUUCGGUGGCCACGGGAUGCGUGGCAGUUGUAGCGUGGGGACGCGGGCGCUUUUCCCACCAGCGAUCUCUCCAGGCGGCCUAAGGUUGCAAAGGUGUGGCCUAAACCGACAGCUUUCUGCCUCUGGCGUUUGGGGGCUCCUCCCAGCCGACACCCAAAGCUCCCUGAACUUUCUCCGCGGUCCGUCUCUGCUUCUCCUCGCCUUUAUUGUGUAUAAAGAGGACCCCGUGCCCAGCCCCACUAUCUGCUUCCCUACCCAACCCCUCGGUGUCAGGGCGCCCGCCCGGAGUCGGAACCCGCUGGGGACUGCGUGGCGAGUGGACUCCAGGCUCCAUAAUGGAAUCAAGAAGGCAUGGAAUUCUACCCCAGAAACAAGCUGGGAGGGCGUCGUUCCAGCUUCCCGCUAAACUCCGAGUUCUGGAGAAGCACAGGUGGUCAAGCAGACGAAGCUUGUAAGAUUUCAGGAGUGGCAAAUUCAAGGCAAGUAUCGCAAAUGUGUGAAGGUCUGAGAGAAAGUCACCAGUGAGGCCACCUAGAGAACUGGAGGGGAAGGCUCAUUCUCCCCAGAGUGCUACUGCAUGAGAGCUUUGUAUAUAGACAGCUUUGUCCCUUGUAAGGAAGCACAAAUUCCUAUCUCCAGGUCAUAUGUCCAUUGGGUUAGAUUCUCUCCUCAGAACAAUAAAACUGAAUCUUCUCCUUUUCCCCCAGUGAUAGACUAUCCAAUACUUGAAGAUAACUGUCACACUCCUCAACCUCUUGCUUUCUUUUAUUGGCUAAAUUUCCCAGUUCUCCAUGAGACACAGCACCAGCAACUUUGCUAAAUUGGCCAGCUUUGCUGGUUUGCCCCAGAAAAUCUUUGGAAAUAUCUCAGAACAAGUAAAAUACUCCAGAGUUCCAGUCGGCCAGCGUCCACAGUGUCUGCCCACCGUAUUGUGUCACUAGUGGUAAACAGAAUCUUUCAUCAGGGAAGAGUCACCAUACCCUGGAAUCAGAUCUCAAUCAUAUGCAACUUUUAGAGGGGAUUAUUGCAUCCCCUCAUUUAAGAACAUCUCAGGUUUAUCCCCAUUAAAUUUCACUUCGCUUUGACUUUUUGGUGGCUGUUAAAAUCUCUCUCUCUCUCUCAUCUUCUGUUACUUUACAAAUUGAAUAGCAUUUUAAAAAAUAGUUUUGCCCAGUGAUUGAACUAAGUUUUGUAGAUGUCAGGGUUUCUAGAGUAUCUGCUGGGGCAGGGCAGUGUGGUGUCUUCAGUGUCUCUAGGGACCAUGUUGAUAAUGGUUCCGUAUUUAUUUCUUCAAUGAACUCAUAAGUAAUAAUUAAUAGAGGGGUCUCUGGAAUGAGAUUUGCUUGGGUUUAAAAUGCUAGGGCUGCUAAUAUACUUAGUGUAUGGCAUUGGGAAUGUUCAUUUAUUUGUG
This 2116-nucleotide long non-coding RNA is filed under the name Chinchilla lanigera (long-tailed chinchilla). RNAcentral's name for it is "lncRNA (ENSCLAG00000025579.1)". The record is from RNAcentral. Lineage: Eukaryota; Metazoa; Chordata; Mammalia; Rodentia; Chinchillidae.